UCCCACUUCCCAACAAUAAACCCAGCAGCAACAACAGCCGAAAAAAAAAAAAAAAAAAAAAAAAAAAAAAAAAAAAAAAAAAAAAAAAAAAAAGCCAACAGCAACCUUCCCGGCUACAGAUCGAUGGCGUUUGGCUCCCCCGCCAGGACAAGGGGAAAAAUUGCCAUCACCGAGCUACUGGUAAAUCCGCCCCUGGGACAGACCCAGGCCCGCCAGGAGCCAAGGCCGGGCUCUUUUAUUACCGCCCCGGGCCCUCUCCUGCCCCGCGUUCCCGGGGACAGCCCGGCACGGCUGGCUAACGCGGACGGAGGGGAGCAGGGAAGGAAGGAACACAAUUUCUCAGAGCAGCCCCUUUGGGCAGCAGGGCACGAUGGGCAGCCUUCGGUCGCACUUUGCCAGGCGGCUUCGGCAAACAAACGACUGAUCUCGGCGUUUAUAGACUGUAUCGACUUUUAGGGUUCCCAGCUAUUCAAAAAAGAACUCUUCCAGAAACGUAAAUAAACACUGAUGCAGUGCAGGGAGAGGACUGCUGCCAUUUCUGACUUCCCCGUUUAUGGUAAAGUGGAAAACAGAGAUGUGUGAACAGUAGCAGUUCGGCACCAUGUUGAAAUUUAAGUAGUCCAUGGUGAUGUUCAAAAUGUGAGAGUUGAGAGGGAGGGAAUGAAUACAUAAAUCAAUUAACCAAAUGCUUGUUCACUGUAUUGUGACGUGGAGAGAGCAAAAGGUAAGUGCAGAAAAACAGAAACAUGAGAUGUCUGAUACCAGCUCUGAUUGCCUUCAUAAUUAGUUUUAGCGCAGAGAAUAUUUUGCUGUCAGUUUGUAUAAUAAACUAAAACUGGAUCUCAUAAAGCAGGAUGGUCAUAUAUAGGUGUCUUCCUGAUACAAGCUGGAAGUGCUCAGCUUGCUGCAGGGCACUUUGCUGUACCAGCUGGGGCUACCAGGGCCCUUCAUGUGCUUAGUCAGGGAUUGGGUUCUUUGAGCCUGUCCUUAGCUCCAGAUUUUGCCACAGAAGAGAAAGUGUUGCCUUUAAUCCCAGCUCUGAACAUUCUGCUUCAGGCCUGUACUUUCUUUUGGCUGAUCAGCAACCCUCAAUAUCUUUGGAUCACACAGACCCACAGAGACAGAUCCUGGCUUUCAGCUUGUUCACCUUUUGCAUUUCUAGCUUAUAAUAUGAAAGUUGGAAAAAGCCAAAACACAGUGUUGUGAGGUGCUAUAGCAAGAGUUUGUUAGUAUUUAUGUAGCAGCUUGAAACAUGCAAGAAUAAAGUACAGUAGCAAUUACUAUUGAAGUUUUGGGGGAAAAUCUCUCAACUCUCAGAUUUAUACUUGAAAGCAAGCUAUAAAUUUUAUCCAGUAGAAUUUCCUUUUCUCAAAAGAGGCUUUCAUAGCCCAUUAUUAUUUUUGAUAACAUCUCCUCCUACCCAUAGAAGCCAAAAGCACUGUGAAGUGGUCGUUCAUUAUGCACCAUCAGUCUAUUGAGAUGUCAAGUUUAGGGAAAAGGAAUCUGCCUUUUAAUCAGCUCUGCUACAAUACUGGAAGAUAUGCUAUGUGAGAAGAACCCACUCACAUAUUUUAUGAGAAAUCAAGCUGAACAGGCAAUGGUAGAGCAGUCUUUGGCAUCUAAGUGUAUUACAACUAGCUAUCUGCUUUUAAGUUAUCCUACCUUAAUUAAUACAUGCAGUAACCGAAUGAAUAACCAAAACCCACUUUAGCUUUUAAUUCUUCAAGAAUCACAUUGUUUCAUUUUUAGAACAAUGUUCUAAAGCUCAGAAAGGAGUUUUUAAUGACAGCAAAAUCUAGAAAACAUUAAGAAACGUCAACUUUAACUUAAUUACAGUCUACUUUCUUAUUCAGCAUGGAGAUACUUCUGAGUAAUGUGUACACAGGUAUUGAGCACAUAAGUAUUUUUGACUUUGCUAUUCCAAAGAUGUUUAUAAUGAACUGAACAACUUUGCUUGACUAAAUUAACAGCUUUGAUAAGAAUUCUGUAAUUGUUCCCUUUUUGCACAGGCAUUGUUCAAAACGUGUACCAUUCAUCCCACUGGACUCUAUGUUUCUAGCAUACACCUUUUCCAUGAUAGAGCUGUAAGUCCCAAAUAAGCAUUCCAUUAUCAGAGCAAUUUUAAAAACACAAAAUAAUGCAGAACAUCUGUACUCUUCUGAAAAAGGUUCCUGGCCAAUUAGGACAACACAUGAGAAAAAAAGGCUAUCAUAUUCUGUUAAAAUCAAAAUAUGUAAGGCCCUUCUGUUAUUUCUCUAUAAAGCACAUUGCUGUGCGCAAGUGAAAAACAUAACAGUAAUAAUACACAACGCUUUUGGGGGGGCUACGUGAGUGAAGUGUCUUUUAUAUCCGCUAAAAUAUUGAUCAUCCUUACUUAGCCUACUCUUAGGGACUUAGCAAGGGUCAGAGCUUGACUGCUCUUAGCUUGACAGCCUCUAAGGUCACAGCCCAGUUGCUAUAGCUGCUUAUUCUCUGUCUCCGAUUACACACUGCUGCUGCUCAGCAGCCCGAAGGCCUCUCUGCAGCCUCUGUGGCUGCUCCGCAGGAGCGGCUCCACCUGCAGCGCAGUCGUGCGCGGGGCAGCCUGGGCGCCGAAGCCCCUCGGUGUCCCGGGAGCUCAGCCAAGCGGAGCUGGCGGCAUGCAAAGCCCGGGAUUGCCGUGGCACGGUUCGCUGCCGGUGCCGCACGGGGGUGCGCAGCGCACACGAGUCCCCGGGAGCGGAGGGCUCCGCGGCAGCGGCGCAGCGAGAGCCGAGCUCCCUUUGCUGCUGCGAAAUCAGGUGAUUGCAGCAGCCGCCGGAGAGUCAGGCUUGCAAGUGCGCUGUAAAAGCGAGCUGGUUUCCAGUAACGGGGAUGAUUUCAAAGAAGCAUUUAGCAUACUUCUUGUAAGAGGGAUUCGGCCAAGUUCCAGGGCAUGAUUUCCCUUGAGGGAAAGCAGUGUUGUUUGUCAUAGGUGAGGCGCUGCAGAAGAUCAGGUGGAAACUGAGUGGAAGAUGGUGUAGCUGGCAAAUGCUGUAGAGUAAUGCACACCAUCAGAGACCAGGUAAGCCACCUGUAAAUAGGAGCUGAAAGGGUCAAGGUGGGCUGUACACUGUCAUGCCUGGGUGAGGAAGCAUUAGCCAAGGUCAGGUUUUAAAUUCGGUCAGGCAAACCAGCUGGGAAAAGCUGCUGCAAGGCUGACACCAAAUUACCUUCAUUUUGCAAAAAUUCCCCAACCCUAUGACACAUCAGAGAUUGUGCUGGCCAGCUGAAUUCUAAUCAAAUAGCUUGUACUUUCACAUUUUACCUUUAAGAAGAUUGUCCACUGCAGUGAGCCCUUUCAUGCUGGUUUUUGGAAGCUGUGGGAAGUACAGGUCAACACCGACUGACAUUUAAUUUUGAGUUUAGUUAUGAGUUAUUUAUAUUUCACUUACACUAAACUAUCUCAAAAUUCCUGGAAUAUAUUUUUUUUCUUUUAUUAUAUUCAUUGAGGGAAAUGGAUAAAAUAUCAACAGAAAUGAAGCACUGGAAUAAUGAUUUUAGUCAGUGUGUUUCAGCAAAAUUCCUUCUAAUUUAAAAUAAUUUAGAAUAUCAAUUGAAAGUAACAGGCUAUUUUUGUCCUUUAACAUCCCAGACUGAAUGAUAUUAAAGUAGAUCAACUUUUAAAGUAAAAUAACUUAACAAAUUUAAGGCAAAAUCUAGGGCAACUGAAUGUUCCCAUUAGUAAAUCUUUACCACUUUAACCUGAUUAGAUGAUAAUGCAAUGCAGAAUACAAAACAUCCAAUGUAUGUAAUCAGGCUAUGCGAGUCCCUUGGGACUGCAUGUUGUCAGAAAUGAUCAAAAUUCAAAACAGACACACAAAUGAAAGUACAAACAAGGAUACGUAAAACCAAUGAUGAUGAACUUAAAAGAAUCACCAUUGUAAAUGCAGAUAUAGGAAAUUAGUAUUUUUCUCUGGUUCUGUGCCACUCACGAGGACACCCAUACUUCCAAGUGCCUAUGUUAUCAGGAAUACAAAAAUUACUGCAGAGUUUCUGGGUUUGUAUUUAAUGUUAUAAAACGAUAAGCAGAAAGCUGGAAGGCAAAUAUACAUCCAAAAAUUCUGAAACUCCUGAUCACCCAGGGUCUGGCUCUAUGUUAAACUGUCUUUGCAAACAGGUAGGCUUUUCAAACACCAAGACAAUAUCUACUUGCUUUGCAGAGAAAACUUACAUUCUUGCUUUCUAAAGGCAGGAGAAGAUGGAAAUAAGCAUUCAGUGUUUAUUCUAUCACAUGCAUUUUUGAGUCUUUGAUUUUAUUUACACAAGGAAAUUCUCAUGGUUUCUUAGGCUUUCAAAAGAAGGUGGGGCAUUUUCUGGAUGCUAGCAGAUCAAUCUCUAUCAUUCCCCCACUUUGAAAAUAAAAUUAUGGAUGAAAUUUUCCUGGAAGAAAUAGGUUAUUUGAGGACAUGAAAUUCAAAAUGGAUAAAGAGCUAGAUCCACUUAUGCAUUUGGGUGUUGCAAUUCAGUUUUGUAAUAUCCAACUAUGUCUAUUGGAUAGCCACCUACUUACAUAUCUAAAAGAGACGUGAUGCAAAACUGAGCUUUUGGUAGAACCAAGCAGUCAGAAAAACUGGUCACUCGGGAUGAUGAAGCAUCUCAUUCUUCAGGGGCAUAAGGCAUACCCAAACCUUCUUCUGAAAUUGGUCCUCAGUCAUGUUUCAUAACAGCAGACAGCACUACUGUCUUUUGAUCUCUAAGGGAAGCGAAGUGGCUGUUUGUCUUUUCCUUAUUAUCAAAAGAAGCUUGAGGCCUAGGCUCAGACCCUCACCUCCCAGCAGCCAAUCUGAAGACUAUUCCUCAACAACCUCCUGGUUGAGGAAAAAUGUUUAAAAAAAUAAAGUUUAAAAUUUCUGGACGUAGAACGGGAAAAGAGGAAGGAGCAUAGCCGUUCCACAUCGGAGCACGCAGUGCUCUCUGGGGAGAUGGAAGUGCUGGGCUCUGAUUCCUGCUCUGAUGACUGCUUCUACAUUCUAUUUUAAGUAGUGAUUGGGUAAAAUAUUGAAGUAGUCCUUGAAUGGGACAUAUGCAGUGGGAGCAACAGGAACCACUGUGCAGCUCAUGUAUGAAUUCUGCAGAAAUACACCAAAUUACAAGCACUUAUCGGUCUGAAAUGAUACCAUCUUCUAGUAGCUAAAAAAAGAAAUUAGUGAAUAUUACACUACAACAAGUAGAGUUUCUGCUGUCAGGAGCAGAAAGCUGGUAAAUGCUCCACAUUUAUAACUCCCUGUUAACUGUGAGAUUGAGCUGAGGGAUCAGAUACUGUCAAAGCAAUCUUCACAGAUCUCAGCAACAUCCACCAAGGAAGAUAGUCAUCAGAGAGAAAAGCAAGUAUGUUGCUGAGCAAGGAAAACCUGCUUGUUAUUUUUUCUUUUUCAAAUGAAUAUGUUGAAAAGCAAGGCAUACUUCCUGCAGUGUAACCAAGACCUGCAUGCAAGUGGGGCCAAACAAUAUUCAGUUUAAUAACUGUGCCAAAGCCAUUAGUUCUUUUGAAAAGCUUCUUAGUAAAACUGCUAAUAAAAAUGUGGAUUCUUUCUGAAUGUCACUUUAAUAAUAUCAUCAACACGACAGCCAUGAUAUGUUAUGUAUUAAAUCCAUUCCUUUAUUCCUCAUCUAUUUCCUCUACUUCAUUUUUCAAUAUGAAUUGCAGGAUUUAAUCUUGGAAGAGCUUACCUACAUUAUAGAAGCCAACAGAAAGGCACUGAAGAUUUUGCAGAUGUGGAAAUAAUAUUUUGAGCUCUGAGUAUCUGAGAAGUUACAGCAUGGAGAAUAGGUAUUUUAUUAGUUGUUAUGCUAAAACCAUCAGGAAAAUAUCAGUGCUCUUCUGUUAUAAUUAUCUUUAUCUUGUUUCAAAACUAAUGCUUCCUAUAUUAAUACCUUAAAUAUCAGUAUUUCAUGUUCUCACAAUGAUGAAUUAUUUCUGUAUAAGAAAUGUAUAUACCUUACAUGACUUUUGAAUGUAACUGUUGUAAAAAAACUUCCCAUUAUGUAAAAAUAAAUUUUGCGUUAAUUUUUAA
Corvus hawaiiensis (hawaiian crow) is the source of this 6035-nucleotide long non-coding RNA. RefSeq lists it as uncharacterized. The record is from RefSeq and is a predicted model, not a curated record. The transcript has 2 exons. NCBI's taxonomy places the organism in Eukaryota, Metazoa, Chordata, Aves, Passeriformes, Corvidae.